UAAGGAAUAUUGGUCAAUGGACGCAAGUCUGAACCAGCCAUGCCGCGUGAAGGAUGAAGGUCCUCUGGAUUGUAAACUUCUUUUAUCUGGGACGAAAACGGGAUUUUUAUCUCAAUUGACGGUACCAGAGGAAUAAGCACCGGCUAACUCCGUGCCAGCAGCCGCGGUAAUACGGAGGGUGCGAGCGUUAUCCGGAUUUACUGGUUUUAAAGGGUGCGUAGGUGGGCUUAUAAGUCAGUGGUGAAAUCUCCGAGCUUAACUUGGAAACUGCCGUUGAUACUAUAGGUCUUGAAUUAUCUGGAGGUAAGCGGAAUAUGUCAUGUAGCGGUGAAAUGCUUAGAUAUGACAUAGAACACCAAUUGCGAAGGCAGCUUACUACACAAUCAUUGACACUGAGGCACGAAAGCGUGGGUAGCGAACA
RNAcentral lists this ribosomal RNA (421 nucleotides) under uncultured bacterium. RNAcentral describes it as "bacterial SSU rRNA". It matches the Rfam family "Bacterial small subunit ribosomal RNA", at positions 355 to 774 of the family's 1533-position model. The record is from RNAcentral.